Molecule: ribosomal RNA, 479 nt
Filed under: uncultured bacterium
Lineage: Bacteria
Description: partial 16S ribosomal RNA
Rfam family: Bacterial small subunit ribosomal RNA
Source: RNAcentral
GAUGAACGCUGGCGGCGUGCUUAACACAUGCAAGUCGAGCGAGAAGUUUUGAAAAGAUUCUUCGGAGGAAAUUUAAAAUGGAAAGCGGCGGACGGGUGAGUAACUCGUAGGCAACCUGCCCCAUACAAAGGGAUAGCAUUCUGAAACGAAUAUUAAUACCUUAUGAAACUUAACUAGUGCAUGCUAGGUAGGUCAAAGAUUUAUCGGUAUGGGAUGGGCCUGCGUCUGAUUAGCUAGUUGGUGAGGUAACGGCUCACCAAGGCGACGAUCAGUAGCCGACCUGAGAGGGUGAGCGGCAACAUUGGAACGGAGACACGGUCCAAAAUCCUACGGGAGGCAGCAGUGGGGAAUAUUGCACAAUGGGGGAAACCCUGAUGCAGCAACGACGCGUGAACGAUGAAGGCAUUUGGGUAGUAAAGUUCUGUUAUAGGUGAUGAAAACUGACAGUAACCUAGGAGAAAGCCCCGGCUAACUCCGUG